GGGCGAAUGGUUUAGUGGUAUAAUACUCCCUUAGCAUGUUAUCUUCAAUGAGCUCGUCCUUGGGAGUGGUCCAGGGUUCGAUUCCCUGUUCGUCCA
This is a non-coding RNA of Fusarium tricinctum, 96 nucleotides long. The record is from the annotation of a GenBank genome assembly. NCBI's taxonomy places the organism in Eukaryota, Fungi, Ascomycota, Sordariomycetes, Hypocreales, Nectriaceae.